AUUGAACGCUGGCGGCAGGCUUAACACAUGCAAGUCGAGCGAGCGGCGGACGGGUGAGUAAUGUCUGGGAAACUGCCUGAUGGAGGGGGAUAACUAAUGGAAACGGUAGCUAAUACCGCAUACCAUCAGAUGUGCCCAGGUGGGAUUAGCUAGUCGGGGGGGUAACGGCUCACCAAGGCGACGAUCCCUAGCUGGUCUGAGAGGCUGACCGGCCACACUGGGACUGAGACACGGCCCAGAUUCCUACGGGAGGCAGCAGUAGGGAAUAUUGCGCAAUGGACGCAAGCCUGAUGGAGCCAUGCCGCGUGAGUGAAGAAGGUUUUCGGGUUGUAAAGCACUUUCGGCGGGGAAGCGUUACUCAAACAGGAAGCAACGGCUAACUCCGUGCCAGCAGCCGCGGUAAUAC
RNAcentral lists this ribosomal RNA (406 nucleotides) under uncultured bacterium. Its description in RNAcentral is "partial 16S ribosomal RNA". It matches the Rfam family "Bacterial small subunit ribosomal RNA", at positions 30 to 526 of the family's 1533-position model. The record is from RNAcentral.